UACGUAGGGAGCAAGCGUUGUCCGGAAUCAUUGGGCGUAAAGCGCGCGUAGGUGGCUUCAUAAGUCCGCUGUGAAAGUCAAAGGCUCAACCUUUGAAAGCCGGUGGAUACUGUGGAGCUAGAGUCCGGAAGAGGCGAGUGGAAUUCCUGGUGUAGCGGUGGAAUGCGCAGAUAUCAGGAGGAACACCAAUAGCGAAGGCAGCUCGCUGGGACGGUACUGACACUGAGGCGCGAAAGCGUGGGGAGCGAACAGG
Molecule: ribosomal RNA, 253 nt
Filed under: uncultured bacterium
Lineage: Bacteria
Description: partial 16S ribosomal RNA
Rfam family: Bacterial small subunit ribosomal RNA
Source: RNAcentral